RNAcentral lists this ribosomal RNA (253 nucleotides) under uncultured bacterium. RNAcentral's name for it is "partial 16S ribosomal RNA". It matches the Rfam family "Bacterial small subunit ribosomal RNA", at positions 524 to 776 of the family's 1533-position model. The record is from RNAcentral.
GACAGGCGAUGCAAGCGUUACUCGGAAUUACUGGGCGUAAAGCGUCUGUAGGCUUUCAGCCAAGUCUGGGGUAAAAUUUCGGGGCUCAACCCCGAACACGUCCCGGAAACUCGCUGAAUUGAGCAAUGGAGAGGUACCUGGAAUGCCGUGAGUAGGAGUAAAAUCCGUAGAUACACGGUAGAACGCCAAAAGCGAAGGCAGGGUACUAGUCAUUCGCUGACGCUGAGAGACGAAAGCGUGGGGAGCAAAGGGG